UCCCUGGUGGCUCAGUUUGUAAAGAGUCGGCCUGCAAUGCAGGAGACCCAGGUUUGAUCCCUGGCUGGGGAA
This 72-nucleotide transfer RNA is filed under the name Ovis aries (sheep). It matches the Rfam family "tRNA". Rfam says of the family: Transfer RNA (tRNA) molecules are approximately 80 nucleotides in length. Their secondary structure includes four short double-helical elements and three loops (D, anti-codon, and T loops). The record is from Rfam by way of RNAcentral. Lineage: Eukaryota; Metazoa; Chordata; Mammalia; Artiodactyla; Bovidae.